RNAcentral lists this ribosomal RNA (301 nucleotides) under uncultured bacterium. Its description in RNAcentral is "partial 16S ribosomal RNA". It matches the Rfam family "Bacterial small subunit ribosomal RNA", at positions 509 to 807 of the family's 1533-position model. The record is from RNAcentral.
CAGUAGCCGCGGUAAUACGAAGGGGGCUAGCGUUGUUCGGAAUCACUGGGCAUAAAGGGUGCGUAGGCGGGCAUUUAAGUCGGGGGUGAAAUCCCAAGGCUCAACCUCGGAGCUGCCCUUGAUACUGGGUGUCUUGAGUCCGGAAGAGGUGAGUGGAACUGCGAGUGUAGAGGUGAAAUUCGUAGAUAUUCGCAAGAACACCGGUGGCGAAGGCGGCUCACUGGUCCGGAACUGACGCUGAGGCACGACAGCGUGGGGAGCAAACAGGAUUAGAUACCCGUGUAGUCCCUGUCUCUUAUAC